RNAcentral lists this ribosomal RNA (1957 nucleotides) under Flavobacteriales bacterium. Its description in RNAcentral is "bacterial LSU rRNA". It matches the Rfam family "Bacterial large subunit ribosomal RNA", at positions 1 to 1984 of the family's 2925-position model. Lineage: Bacteria; Pseudomonadati; Bacteroidota; Flavobacteriia; Flavobacteriales. The record is from RNAcentral.
CAAUAAAAACAAACAAGGGCAUACGGGGAAUGCCUAGGCUCUGCAAGGCGAAGAAGGACGUGAUAAGCUGCGAAAAGCCGCGGGGAGGUGCAAAUAACCGAUAAUCCGCGGAUAUCCGAAUGGGGCAACCCACCAUAUAAAUGGUACCUCGAAACGAGGAGCGAACCCUCUGAACUGAAACAUCUAAGUAAGAGGAGGAAGAGAAAACAACAGUGAUACCGCAAGUAGUGGCGAGCGAACGCGGCACAGCCCAAACCGGACACGUUUAGGCGUAUCCGGGGUAGUAGGACUGCGAGAUACAAGUAUAAAAAGAACCGGAACGGCAUGGAAAGGCCGUCCGUAGAAGGUGAAAGACCUGUACGGGCAAUUUUUAUACGCGUUAGCAGUAUCCUGAGUAGGUCGGGGCACGAGAAACCCAGACUGAAACCGGCGGGACCACCCGCCAAGGCUAAACACUCAGCAGAGACCGAUAGUGAACAAGUACCGUGAGGGAAAGGUGAAAAGAACCUUGAAUAAAGGAGUGAAAAAGACCCUGAAACCGUAUGCCUACAAGCGGUCGGAGCCCAUUUAUUGGGUGACGGCGUGCCUUUUGCAUAAUGAUCCUACGAGUUACUGUUACCGGCAAGGUUAAGCGCUUCAGGCGCGUAAGCCGCAGCGAAAGCGAGUCUUAAAAGGGCGAAUUAGUCGGUAGUAGUAGACGCGAAACCUUGUGAUCUACCCAUGGCCAGGUUGAAGUGGGGGUAACACCCCAUGGAGGACCGAAUCGGUAAGCGUUGAAAAGCUUUCGAAUGAGCUGUGGGUAGGGGUGAAAGGCCAAUCAAACUGGGAAAUAGCUCGUACUCCCCGAAAUGCAUUUAGGUGCAGCGUCGCGGUUAAGUGAUAUAUAGGUAGAGCUACUGAUUGAAUGCGGGGGCUUCACCGCCUACCAAUUUCAGACAAACUCCGAAUAGUAUAUCACAUACGCGGCAGUGAGGGCAUGGGUGCUAAGGUCCAUGCCCGAGAGGGAAACAACCCGGACCAACAGCUAAGGUCCCCAAAUAUACGCUAAGUUGAAAAAACGAAGUAGAACUGCACAGACAGCCAGGAAGUUGGCUUGGAAGCAGCCAUUCUUUUAAAGAGUGCGUAACAGCUCACUGGUCGAGCGGUUCUGCAUGGAGAAUAAGCGGGCAUAAGCGUAUUACCGAAGCUAUGGCAGAUAACAAUCUGGGUAGGGGAGCAUUCCGUACAGCGCAGAAUCGGUAUUGUAAAGUACCGUGGAGCGUACGGAAAAGCAAAUGUAGGAAUAAGUAACGAUAAAGCGGGCGAGAAACCCGCUCACCGAAAGACCAAGGGUUCCCCGGCUAUGUUAAUCAGCCGGGGGUCAGUCGGGCCCUAAGGACAAGCCGAAAACAGGCUACUCCGAUGGACAAACGUUUAAUAUUACGUUACUCGUAUCGAGUGCGACGGGGCGACCUGGUAAUACCUCUUCGCGUGCUGACGGAAUAGCACGUUAAAGACUUUACUGGGCCGGGAGGCAAAUCCCCCGGCGGAAAGGUAAAGUUGAUAGUACACCCAAGCUACGGCGACGGUGAUAGCAAGACUAAAGAUCAGCAAGAAAAACCUCUAAGCUUCAGCUCGAUACGACCCGUACCGGAAACCGACACAGGUGGUCGAGAAGAGAAUUCUAAGGUGCUCGAGAGAUUCAUGGCUAAGGAACUAGGCAAAAUAGACCUGUAACUUCGGGAAAAAGGUCACCGCAGCAAUGCGGUCUCAGAAAAUAGGUCCAGGCGACUGUUUAACAAAAACACAGGACUUUGCAAAAUCGAAAGAUGACGUAUAAGGUCUGACACCUGCCCGGUGCUGGAAGGUUAAGAGGAGAUGUCCGCAGCAAUGCAAAGCAUUGAAUUGAAGCCCCAGUAAACGGCGGCCGUAACUAUAACGGUCCUAAGGUAGCGAAAUUCCUUGUCGGGUAAGUUCC